GAGAGGGUCAUUUUCAGAGCAAACACAGAGAGCCUUUCCCUAAGAAAGGGAAUGAAUGGUAGACAGGCAGAAAUCACACGUGCCCCCUGAGUGCAGCCAUGCCAGGCAUGGCCAGCAAGCGCUCCCAUGGAGAAAAACUAUUUCUACAGGUAACAGCCCUCCACAGGGGUGUUGGGGCUCCACUUUCCAACCUCUUUCUUCCUUGGGAGCAAAAACUCUGUGGCUGCCAGGACCUGCCUCUCUGAAAACCCCCGUAAAGCUUCAAAGGGGCCUGUCCACCUCGCCAGCUUUGAUCUCAGGAGGAAACUUGCUCAGACACAUGAUCCAAAGGAAUGUGUACAAUUCCAGGUAUGCACAGGCACCUCCCUGGGCAGAAAGCAAGGCGCUUUCAUCACAGGCUGCGGGAGUCACCAACUGAAGAGACUCAAUGUCCUUGAAAGCACUUUUCUUUUUAUUAUGUUCAAAAUUCAGCAACGAAAACUGCUCGUCUUGCUUCUACGGAAGCUGUAAGGACGAGAAAGUGGAGCGCUGUCGCGGAAAGAGGCAGAAAUUUGGUGACACAAGAGCGAUCUCAGGACAGGGUGGAGCCAGGGAUCAGGACUGUGGUGCCCAGUCCCAGCUCAGCUAAGCCAAUGUGCGUCUUUGGAUGCUUCCUGCCCUAGAACAUCGGACUCCAAGCUCUUCAGUUUUGGAACUUGGACUGGCUUUCCUUGCUCCUCAGCUUACAGACAGCCUAUUGUGGGACCUUGUGAUUGUGUAAGUUAAUAAACUCACAUAUAUAUGUGUGUAUAUAUAUAUAUAUAUAAUGGGUAUAUAUAUAUAAUGUGUAUAUAUGUAUAAUGUGUAUAUAUAAUGUGUAUAUAUAUAAUGUGUGUAUAUAUAAUGUGUAUAUAUAUAAUGUGUAUGUAUAUAUAAUGUGUAUAUAUAAUGUGUAUAUAUAUAAUGUGUAUAUGUAAUGUGUAUAUAUAUAAUGUGUGUAUAUAUAUAUAAUGUGUAUAUAUAAUGUGUAUAUAUAUAUAUAUAUAAUGAGUAUAUAUAUAUUAUUAGUUCUGUUCCUCUAAGAGAAUCCCUACUAAUACACCAAGCUACUAGAGUUUGAGCUUCCCCUUCCUUUAUGAGACAUUUUUGGUAUUAAAACCAACACUGACUAUAAUAACAAGAUACAGAAGCAACCCAAAUUUCCAACAAUAUAGGAGAGCUCAUAUGAUAAAUCCAGCUAUGAGAAUGCUAUGCAACCUUUAAAAAUGACAUGGGAGGAAAGUAUUUAAUGACAUGGAAUAUUUGAUGUAUUAAUAGUACGGAUGUGUUUAACAUCACCAAAGCUAGUCACCAAGACUGCUAGAGCAACAUAAGAGAGGAUCUCAUUUUUGUACAAAACUCAUAACUGCAAAUGAUGCUCACCAUGUGUCCAGAUGGCAGAAUUAUGGGUAACAUUUGUUUUCUUCUUUGUAUUUUUUCAAACUCCAAGUUUUAUAUAAAAAUGUAUAUUACUUUCAGAAUCAGAAAAGAAAAGCAAAGCUCACUUAAAAAACAAAAAGGACAUUUCAACAAAUGUGAGAAGCCAACUGGAUCUCCACAGGUAAAAGAAUGAAGCGUGUCUCCUUCCCCAGCAUGCACAAAAUUUAAGUCAAAAUGGAACAUAGACCUAGUGCAAGAGCUAAAACUAUAUAAAUCUUAGAACAAAGUAUAGGAAUAAAUCUGUAUGACCUUGGGUUACAAAUACAUAGAAACAAUAAUUUAUUAGAUAAGACACCAAAAACACAAGUGACAAAAGAAAAAACAUAGGUAAAUUGAAUUUCAUUAAAAUUUAAAACCUCUGUGCUGAAAAAAUACCACCAAUAAAGUGAAAAGAAAAUCCACAGAAUGAGAGAAAAUAUUUUCAAAUCAUUUAUCUGGUAAGAGACGUGUAUCCAGAAUAUAUGAAGAACUCUUAGACCUCAACAAGAAAAAUAUAAAUAACCCAAUUUAAAAAUGGGCAAAGGAUUUGAAUAGACAUUUCUCCAAGAAGAUACACAAUGUCUCCUAAGCACAAGAAAAGAUGUUUCAUUAGCCAUUUAAAAAAUGCAAAUCAAAAUCACAAGAUGCCACUUUAGACCGAGUAGGAUAACUGCAAUAAAAAAACCCCAGACAAUAACAAGUGUUGACAAGGUUAUGAAGAAACUGGACUACUCAGACAUGGCUGGUGGGAAUCUAAAAUGGUGCAGCUGUUCUGGAAAACAGUCUUGAAGUUCUUUAAAAUGCAAAACAUAGAGUUACCAUAUGACUCAGUGAUUUUACUACUAGAUAUGUAUGUGCUCAAGAGAAACUGAAACAAAUGUGCAUACAAAAAAACUUGCAUAGAAUGUAACAGUGUUCAUAAUAUCCAAAAAGUAUAAACAACCCAAUUUUUCACCAACUGAGGAAUAGACAGAUUACAUGUGGUAUCUUACAAUGUAAUAUUGUUUGAUAAUAAAAAGGAAUGCGGUACUGACACAAUGACACAGCAGUGGAUGGACCUUGGACAUAUUAUACUAAAAGAAAGAAGACAGUCACACAAAACCAUAUUUAGCAUGAUU
RNAcentral lists this long non-coding RNA (2555 nucleotides) under Homo sapiens (human). RNAcentral describes it as "HSALNT0049721". The record is from RNAcentral. Lineage: Eukaryota; Metazoa; Chordata; Mammalia; Primates; Hominidae.